This 497-nucleotide ribosomal RNA is filed under the name uncultured bacterium. Its description in RNAcentral is "partial 16S ribosomal RNA". It matches the Rfam family "Bacterial small subunit ribosomal RNA", at positions 28 to 507 of the family's 1533-position model. The record is from RNAcentral.
GAUGAACGCUGGCGGCGUGCCUAAUACAUGCAAGUCGAGCGAACGGACGAGAAGCUUGCUUCUCUGAUGUUAGCGGCGGACGGGUGAGUAACACGUGGAUAACCUACCUAUAAGACUGGGAUAACUUCGGGAAACCGUAGCUAAUACCGGAUAAUAUUUUGAACCGCAUGGUUCAAAAGUGAAAGACGGUCUUGCUGUCACUUAUAGAUGGAUCCGCGCUGCAUUAGCUAGUUGGUAAGGUAACGGCUUACCAAGGCAACGAUGCAUAGCCGACCUGAGAGGGUGAUCGGCCACACUGGAACUGAGACACGGUCCAGACUCCUACGGGAGGCAGCAGUAGGGAAUCUUCCGCAAUGGGCAAAAGCCUGACGGAGCAACGCCGCGUGAGUGAUGAAGGUCUUCGGAUCGUAAAACUCUGUUAUUAGGGAAGAACAUAUGUGUAAGUAACUGUGCACAUCUUGACGGUACCUAAUCAGAAAGCCACGGCUAACUACGUG